This 301-nucleotide ribosomal RNA is filed under the name uncultured bacterium. Its description in RNAcentral is "partial 16S ribosomal RNA". It matches the Rfam family "Bacterial small subunit ribosomal RNA", at positions 509 to 807 of the family's 1533-position model. The record is from RNAcentral.
CAGCCGCCGCGGUAACACGUAGGUGGCAAGCGUUGUCCGGAAUUAUUGGGCGUAAAGGGCUCGCAGGCGGUUUCUUAAGUCUGAUGUGAAAGCCCCCGGCUCAACCGGGGAGGGUCAUUGGAAACUGGGAAACUUGAGUGCAGAGGAGGAGAGUGGAAUUCCACGUGUAGCGGUGAAAUGCGUAGAGAUGUGGAGGAACACCAGUGGCGAAGGCGACUCUCUGGUCUGUAACUGACGCUGAGGAGCGAAAGCGUGGGGAGCGAACAGGAUUAGAUACCCGCGUAGUCCCUGUCUCUUAUAC